UUUCAAUCAACAGAAAAGAAGGGGAAAAAAAAUGAAAACUACAUUUUCAAUCUCAGUCAUGCUCUUACUUUUGCUCUUCAUGAUCACCACAGGUAAUUAAACUUUUCAAAUCUGAGUUUCUGUAAUUUCACUAAGAUUACUAAGUUUUUUUUUUUAUUUAAUUGAAAUGGUUGAAAUUAAUACCUACAACAUUGUAUUGCUUCCUUGGUCGAGUAUUAUAGAAAUUAAACUUUUGUAUUGAGAAACAAUUAUACUUAUUCGAUAACUAUUCAUCAUAUCAUUUCAUAAAGCUCAUAUUGAUUACAGUGAGAAAAAAAACCAGUACAAACGUAUUUGAACACAAAAAGGAAAAACAAAUAUUUACAUUUAGGGCUUAUAAAUUAAAACAUUGUCACACAUGUCUAUCUAAGAUUAAUUCUUUUUUUCAAGGUGGAUGUUUGCAUGUUUCAAAGACUAGCUAGAUUUAAUGUCUAAUUGGAGUUAUGAAAUCUAAAUUCCAUAAUAAAACAGUUUAAAUGCAUUAAUUAUUGGUCUAAUCCGAAAUUUAUAUAUGUAUACAUCAUACAUUUAAAGCCUUGAAGAAUUCAUCUGAAUACGUUCAUCUACUUUUUUUUUUUUUUUAAACAAUUAUUAUGAUCGUAAGUUGUGGAAAUUAAUUUUGAAUGUUUAUUUAUUUAUUUAUUUUGGGUUGGCUGAAGGCAAUUAUGAGCUAAUUGUGGUGAAUGCUGACUGUGAACAAUUUUUGGUCGCUGGACGGAAAGGUUGUGUGGAUGAGAAUUGCUACCAUGAUUGUGAGGCGAUGUUUGGAUCAAAUGUUAAAGGGAAAUGCACCGCAUUCUCUCUUUACUGUCGUUGUACUUACCCUUGUUAAUUAGAGUGCAGCGUGAACUAAUUAAUUAUUAAAGUAUUAAAUAAGAUAAUAUCAUGGAACUUAAUUAAUAU
RNAcentral lists this long non-coding RNA (942 nucleotides) under Citrus sinensis (sweet orange). Its description in RNAcentral is "long non-coding RNA (CSIN_LNC001465)". The record is from RNAcentral. Lineage: Eukaryota; Viridiplantae; Streptophyta; Magnoliopsida; Sapindales; Rutaceae.